Molecule: microRNA precursor, 112 nt
Filed under: Trifolium pratense (red clover)
Lineage: Eukaryota; Viridiplantae; Streptophyta; Magnoliopsida; Fabales; Fabaceae
Description: pre miRNA mir-399
Rfam family: mir-399 microRNA precursor family
About the family: mir-399 was identified in both Arabidopsis thaliana and Oryza sativa computationally and was later experimentally verified. mir-399 is thought to target mRNAs coding for a phosphatase transporter. The mature sequence is excised from the 3' arm of the hairpin.
Source: RNAcentral
GGCAGCAUUACAGGGCAUGUUCUCCCUUGGCAAGUAGCUAUGAAGUUGUUCAUUCGAACCGUACUCUUUGAAUGUGCAACCUGCCAAAGGAGAUUUGCCCAGCAAUGCUCUC